Molecule: ribosomal RNA, 1210 nt
Filed under: Campylobacter jejuni
Lineage: Bacteria; Pseudomonadati; Campylobacterota; Epsilonproteobacteria; Campylobacterales; Campylobacteraceae
Description: bacterial SSU rRNA
Rfam family: Bacterial small subunit ribosomal RNA
Source: RNAcentral
AUCAGUCACACUGGAACUGAGACACGGUCCAGACUCCUACGGGAGGCAGCAGUAGGGAAUAUUGCGCAAUGGGGGAAACCCUGACGCAGCAACGCCGCGUGGAGGAUGACACUUUUCGGAGCGUAAACUCCUUUUCUUAGGGAAGAAUUCUGACGGUACCUAAGGAAUAAGCACCGGCUAACUCCGUGCCAGCAGCCGCGGUAAUACGGAGGGUGCAAGCGUUACUCGGAAUCACUGGGCGUAAAGGGCGCGUAGGCGGAUUAUCAAGUCUCUUGUGAAAUCUAAUGGCUUAACCAUUAAACUGCUUGGGAAACUGAUAGUCUAGAGUGAGGGAGAGGCAGAUGGAAUUGGUGGUGUAGGGGUAAAAUCCGUAGAUAUCACCAAGAAUACCCAUUGCGAAGGCGAUCUGCUGGAACUCAACUGACGCUAAGGCGCGAAAGCGUGGGGAGCAAACAGGAUUAGAUACCCUGGUAGUCCACGCCCUAAACGAUGUACACUAGUUGUUGGGAUGCUAGUCAUCUCAGUAAUGCAGCUAACGCAUUAAGUGUACCGCCUGGGGAGUACGGUCGCAAGAUUAAAACUCAAAGGAAUAGACGGGGACCCGCACAAGCGGUGGAGCAUGUGGUUUAAUUCGAAGAUACGCGAAGAACCUUACCUGGGCUUGAUAUCCUAAGAACCUUAUAGAGAUAUGAGGGUGCUAGCUUGCUAGAACUUAGAGACAGGUGCUGCACGGCUGUCGUCAGCUCGUGUCGUGAGAUGUUGGGUUAAGUCCCGCAACGAGCGCAACCCACGUAUUUAGUUGCUAACGGUUCGGCCGAGCACUCUAAAUAGACUGCCUUCGUAAGGAGGAGGAAGGUGUGGACGACGUCAAGUCAUCAUGGCCCUUAUGCCCAGGGCGACACACGUGCUACAAUGGCAUAUACAAUGAGACGCAAUACCGCGAGGUGGAGCAAAUCUAUAAAAUAUGUCCCAGUUCGGAUUGUUCUCUGCAACUCGAGAGCAUGAAGCCGGAAUCGCUAGUAAUCGUAGAUCAGCCAUGCUACGGUGAAUACGUUCCCGGGUCUUGUACUCACCGCCCGUCACACCAUGGGAGUUGAUUUCACUCGAAGCCGGAAUACUAAACUAGUUACCGUCCACAGUGGAAUCAGCGACUGGGGUGAAGUCGUAACAAGGUAACCGUAGGAGAACCUGCGGUUGGAUCACCUCCUUU